GGCCCUUUGAGGAGUCAGAGGGAACAGGACAACAUUGUCUAAACUCUUCUUUGAGUUCUGCCAGUGAAGGACAACUCAUCUUUCAAGCUGCUCAGCCCAGAACCAUGGGGUGACCUCUAAGUCCUCUUUCAAAAUUUCUGCCAGCUUCUCCUUCAGAGGAUUUCAGAAGCUUAUUGUUUUACAUCACUCUUAUCGAGUACAGAAAAAUCUUCUGGCCCUGUGGUUUUCAAGCCUGGCUGCACACUAGAUCUCCUGGAGUACUUUCAGAAAAAUAGCCACGGGUAUGACAUGUGUAGUGGCAUUCUUAAAAAGCUCUCCAGGUGAGUCUCAUGUUCAGUGGGAAAUUGAUAGCCAACCUAAUGGCUGAAAUUUCUUUCUU
RNAcentral lists this long non-coding RNA (379 nucleotides) under Mus spicilegus (steppe mouse). RNAcentral's name for it is "lncRNA (ENSMSIG00000005057.1)". The record is from RNAcentral. Lineage: Eukaryota; Metazoa; Chordata; Mammalia; Rodentia; Muridae.